Long non-coding RNA from Hemicordylus capensis (graceful crag lizard), 420 nucleotides. RefSeq lists it as uncharacterized. The record is from RefSeq and is a predicted model, not a curated record. NCBI's taxonomy places the organism in Eukaryota, Metazoa, Chordata, Lepidosauria, Squamata, Cordylidae. The transcript is spliced from 3 exons.
CGGGAUGUGACUGUAGUCGAUGUGUGCAUGCACAGACAAGGAAAUGGAGGAGAGCUGAUCUUGAGUUCUGGAACCCAUUUGAAGCUAUUAAUAGAGCAGGCUGACUCUUUGAGAGGAGAUCUCUGCAUGAAAGCGACUAUCUUGGAAUCCUAGAAUGGAGCAGCCAUAGAGGGACACCAAGGAGGAUUCCAGGGGAAAUGCAGAGGGGAGGCUGUCAACAAUUCCUGAUGAAAUCUCUUUCCACCAGCACCCCAUAUCUUCCAAAAGGUUGGAGCCCUUUCAAAAACAUUGUAGGUCUCCUAGCAUCUCCUGUUCACUGGGCAAAGGUCCAUCUUCAUGCACAAGCAAUUAUUCAUAGCAUUCAGCCAUAUGAUAAGGAAUAUUUUAUUUAUUAUUUACAUUUAUAUACCACCCCUUCAU